GGCCGCUCCGGUGACCUAGUGUUUAGAGCGUUCGCCUCGGAUGCGCAAGGUCGCGGGUUCGAGCCCUGGCCGAGUCA
Molecule: non-coding RNA, 77 nt
Organism: Potamilus streckersoni
Lineage: Eukaryota; Metazoa; Mollusca; Bivalvia; Unionida; Unionidae
Source: the annotation of a GenBank genome assembly